UCGGAAGCGGUGGUGGAUUGUACAUGAGAGAGAAUGCCGGAAUGAGUAGCGAGAAUUAUGUGAGAAUCAUAAUGGCCGAAAAUCUAAGGUUUCCUGAGGAAGGUUCGUCCGCUCAGGGUAAGCCGGGAGCUAAGGUGAGGCGGAAACGCGUAACCGAUGCACAUACGGUAGAGAUUCCGUAGCCUCCGAAAAGUAAAGCACAGGGACGCUUCAGAAGUGUUACGCCGGGCGAUGGUAGCCCCGGUUGUAAAGGACACAAUUGAGUGGAAGGUAACAUGGAUGGAGACAAGAAAAGCUGUGUGUAUCUGGAAGGAGCCCGUACCGCAAACCGACACAGGUAGAUAGGAAGAAGAUUCUAAGGCCAGCGGGAGAAGGGUUGUUAAGGAACUCGGCAAGUUGACCCCGUAACUUCGGGAGAAGGGGUGCUUACGAAGGUAAGCCGCAGAGAAUAGGCCCAAGCGACUGUUUAGCAAAAACACAGCUCUAUGCUAAAUCGAAAGAUGACGUAUAUGGGGUGACACCUGCCCGGUGCUGGAAGGUUAAGAGGAGAUGUGAGAGCAUUGAAUUGAAGCCCCAGUAAACGGCAGCCGUAACAAUAACGGUCCUAAGGUAGCGAAAUUCCUUGUCAGGUAAGUUCUGACCCGCACGAAUGGUGUAACGAUUUGGGCACUGUCUCAACAACCUACCCGGCGAAAUUGUAGUAUCGGUGAAGAUGCCGGUUACCCGCGACAAGACGGAAAGACCCCAUGGAGCUUCACUGUAGCUUAAUAUUGAAUUUUGGUAUUUCAUGUACAGGAUAGGUGGGAGACUGGGAAAUACAGGCGUCAGCUUGUAUAGAGUCACUGUUGGGAUACCACUCUUGAGGUGCUGAAAUUCUAACCUGCGUCUUUGAAUCAAGACGGGGGACAUUGUUAGGUGGGCAGUUUGACUGGGGCGGUCGCCUCCAAAAGAGUAACGGAGGCGCUCAAAGGUUCGCUCAGCAUGGACGGAAACCAUGCCAAAGAGUGCAAACGCAAAAGCGAGCCUAACUGCGAGACUGACGGGUCGAGCAGUAACGAAAGUUGGAGUUAGUGAUCCGGCGGUAUGUGAGUGGAAAUGCCGUCGCUCAACGGAUAAAAGCUACCCUGGGGAUAACAGGCUGAUCUCCCCCAAGAGUCCACAUCGACGGGGAGGUUUGGCACCUCGAUGUCGGCUCAUCGCAUCCUGGGGCUGAAUUCGGUCCCAAGGGUUUGGCUGUUCGCCAAUUAAAGCGGUACGCGAGCUGGGUUCAGAACGUCGUGAGACAGUUCGGUCCCUAUCUGUCGUGGGCGUAGGAUAUUUGAAAGGAGCUGUCCCUAGUACGAGAGGACCGGGAUGGACGCACCUCUGGUGAACCAGUUGUCACGCCAGUGGCACGGCUGGGCAGCUAAGUGCGGAACGGAUAAACGCUAAAAGCAUCUAAGCGUGAAGCCGACCUUAAGAUAAGAUAUCCGUUCUUCGGAAUAAGACCCCUUGUAGACUACGAGGUUGAUAGGCUUAAAGUGUAAGCAUGGUGACAUGUUUAGCUUGCAAGUACUAAUCGGUCGAUUGCUUUUCCAG
Molecule: ribosomal RNA, 1578 nt
Filed under: metagenome
Description: bacterial LSU rRNA
Rfam family: Bacterial large subunit ribosomal RNA
Source: RNAcentral